This 307-nucleotide ribosomal RNA is filed under the name uncultured bacterium. Its description in RNAcentral is "partial 16S ribosomal RNA". It matches the Rfam family "Bacterial small subunit ribosomal RNA", at positions 506 to 807 of the family's 1533-position model. The record is from RNAcentral.
AGACAGCAGUAGCCGCGGUAAGACAGAGGAUGCAAGCGUUAUCCGGAAUGAUUGGGCGUAAAGCGUCUGUAGGUGGCUUUUCAAGUCCGCCGUCAAAUCCCAGGGCUCAACCCUGGACAGGCGGUGGAAACUACCAAGCUGGAGUACGGUAGGGGCAGAGGGAAUUUCCAGUGGAGCGGUGAAAUGCGUUGAGAUCGAAAAGAACACCAACAGCGAAAGCACUCUGCUGGGACGACACUGACACUAAGAGACGAAAGCUAGGGGAGCAAAUGGGAUUAGAUACCCCAGUAGUCCCUGUCUCUUAUAC